ACACGGAGGGUGCGAGCGUUACCCGGAUUUACUGGGCGUAAAGGGCGUGUAGGCGGCCCGUUAAGUCCGGUGUCAAAGCCCACGGCUCAACCUGGAAAGGCGCCGGAUACUGGCGGGCUAGACGGACGGAGGGGGUAGCGGAAUUCCCGGAGUAGCGGUGAAAUGCGUAGAUACCGGGAGGAACGCCGAUAGCGAAGGCAGCUACCUGGACGUCCGGUGACGCUGAGGCGCGAAAGCGUGGGGAGCAAACCGGAUUAGAAACCCCUGUAGUCC
RNAcentral lists this ribosomal RNA (273 nucleotides) under uncultured bacterium. RNAcentral's name for it is "partial 16S ribosomal RNA". It matches the Rfam family "Bacterial small subunit ribosomal RNA", at positions 523 to 796 of the family's 1533-position model. The record is from RNAcentral.